UGUCCCCCAUCAAAAUUUAUCCCUGGAAGCCUGAUGAACCAGUUAGGAGAAUCUGGAGUUUCUCUCUGUCAUCUUCAACCACCAGAAAGGUGAAAUGGAGAUUGAAAAGCUCAACCCACAAUAUCUAUCACAAUGACCAAAUGUAUUGAUCCACAAAUAUGAUAUUAUGUAGCUUCAGGAAAUUACACUUAAGUUGUUCUUCAUAAUUACCUCCAAAGUCCGCGCUGCCCAGGAACAUUAUAACAAGAUGCUUUUGAUCCUUUGAUAAUUAAAUGU
This 276-nucleotide long non-coding RNA is filed under the name Bos mutus (wild yak). RNAcentral describes it as "lncRNA (ENSBMUG00000000907.1)". Lineage: Eukaryota; Metazoa; Chordata; Mammalia; Artiodactyla; Bovidae. The record is from RNAcentral.